CAUACUAUACGAUGCAAAUACACUACGCAACCAAUCACGGCAUUGACAGUACUUGCGCAUGUGCUGUGCUCGUACACACUCCAUAACAAUAGCAGUCCGGUGGAGUUCAGUAAUGCUCAUGUUAACCCCAUAUCAUGGCGAAACAAGCGGGUAGUGAAUGUGAUGCGUCGGCUCCCAAACCAAAGAAAAAAAGAACUGCGGUUCUUUUAAGAUGGGAUGGCUGUCGGAGUAUGUGCAAAUAGAAGAACAAGCGGUAAAACUGGCUGGAUCUGAAGAAACCGGAGGUUUCCAGGGGCCGAGUCGACGUCCAGGCAAAGACUGUGGCCACGGCACUUGAGACCUUUUCCGGGACUGAGCCUCGACUUUGCGUCUGGAGGCUGAGGGUUGACGAGAAGCCGAAGGAAGUGAAGACAUCUCUGAGAGCUGGAGCCAAUCCCAGCUAACUUCGGGCAGCGGCAGACUACACCGGAAACUGGUUGCCACCCAGCCACAGUGCAGAUAUCAACACCAUAACACGCUGCCUUCACUCAAAAUGUCCCUCUGAGGGAAAACCCGAACUACAACGUGGCCCUCAAGAGAAAUGAGUUCGACAUCCUUGCACGACACCAUCAAAAAAAAAAAAAAAUUGACAAGUUACUGUGCUUUCAUAACCUUAUUACUGCCAUUUGUUUAUUCAUCCCAUGUCUAUGAAUUAACAUCUACCGUACAUGUAGUUUUAUCUGAACACGGGUAUAGACUGAGCAAGAGCUGAAUGACAUGGACAAAAUAGCAGAAAGAAACACGUGGAUACACCUUACACACUGUAAAAGGUCAGCUGAGUCACUCAAAGGGAAAGGUGAGCAAAGACCAGCAUACGGUGGGUGCAGAUUUUUUGUAUCUGAAAAUACCUGAAGGCUGGUGAAGAUUUAAAAGACACUUGACUCAUUUAGGGCUGACUUGGUCGACAUGACUUCAAAAUGGCUAAAUAAUAUGCCGUAAUAUUUUUGUUCAUAUGCUACUUUUGGACACCUGUAAAGCUGACAAAAACCCAUAACAGCAGAACCAAUAAUUAUACUCAGUCAACUAUGCCUACCACUCUUAAGAUAAGAGGUGCAACCUCAUUUCAAAUAACAUUAGUGAACAAAGAAAAAGAAAGUUUGGCAAAUCUAAAAAUUUGGUGUUCUCUGUCCUAGUUUCUAUCGCUGUUUGCAGCUAUUCUUGCAUUGUGUGGAUGUUGUUGUAUUCCCUGCAUAAAGCCAUCACUUAACCAACUUAUAACCCCUGCUAUUGCACCGACAAAUUCAAAAUUGGCAGAACUAUAUCCACUAUUGGCACAACAGAGUAAUGACAGUGAUAUUGUUGACCACGAUGAUGACGUUAUGACUUCUCUUCCAGACCUGUUCUCUGAUCCAGAAGAUUACAGGUAAUUGGUGCUAUAUUUUCCUCCGAGUGUAAGCCGAAAGGGUGAUCUAAUAGAUGAUUUAAGGAUUUGAGCAAAUGUAGGAUAAACAGGAGGAUAACGUAGAAAUAAUUGUAAAUAGUAUUAAGUAACUGCUUCUGACUGCAAUGAAGAAAUGCUUUGCUCUGCUCAAAUUCAGUUACUGCUCUGCCUGCAAUGAAGAAAUGCCUUGCUCUAAUCCAAUUCAGUUCCUGUUUCUGCCUGCAGUGAAGAAAUGCUUUGCUCUGCUCCAAUUCAGUUACUGUCUCUGCCUGCAAUGAAGAAUGCUUUGCUCUGCUCUAGAAAACAUGGUAGCAAAUGUAGGAUAAACAGGGGGGAAAUGUAGGAAUAAUUGUGAUCAUAAUUAUCAUACAUCUGCUUCCAAUAAUGAAAUGCUUUGCUCUGCUCUCGAUAACGUGGCAGCCUCCUAGCAGGAGAUAGCAAGAACAAAAACUUCUAAUCAUCAGAACUGUUAGAACUGCUGCCUGUUAAAGAAAUGAUGACCACACAUGUAUUCAGCAAGCUUUCACACAUGCACACGCACAUGAACAAACAUGUACACCUUGUUUCAAACUGUUUUGCUUGUCGUCUCCUUUUUGUAACAUCUAUGUAAAUAAGGGGCAUCUUAAAACUAAAUAAAUAGAGGUGCUGAAGAGAGGAUAAUCAGAGAGUGCAGUGGUGAAUUGUACGAGACAGUUCCUCUCCUCUCUCCUCGCGAGACUUGAACUGGUGUCUUUGCUUCCUUUUUUGUCCUGUUUAAUGAAUGUCUGAUUGGUGAACCUGACAUUUACUUGGGAUCCCAAAUAAAAUGGGACAGCUGGGGCAGAGCGGGCGUUUUGUGAGAUAAAGCAAGUUUUGCUGUCAAGUACAGCCUUAGCAUUACCUGACUAUUCAAAACAUUUUGUUCAAAUGGUAGAUUGCAAAGGAGAAUAUAUGACAUCAGUACUGACUCAAACCUAUGGAGAAAAAAUGUGACCAGUGGCACAUUUCUCAUCCAAAUUGGAUAGUGUAGCAUGUGCACUUCCUCAUUGCGUCAGGGCUGUGGUUGCAGCCCAAAAUGGCUGUUGAGAGUAGUUCUCCAUUGUGCUUUUUCACCCACUAACACUCAGGGUGCCACAGGCCGUGUCAGCCCUACUGCUACAGACCAAUAUGACCUAUUUGUCCCCAGCUAGACAUCUAUCACGCAUAGCCAUAUUGCUUAUCUCAGCCACACCUCACACUGGAAAGAACCCAGCUACCCAUCUACCACUCCCUGACGAGGGAUUAACAACAUGACUGCCAAGAAUUAUCUGAACAAACUACUAAAUGCUCCUGGCCGAGAAGGGUGGCGUCUGCGCCAUGUUCGGUAACCAGUGUUGUACGUUUAUUCCAAAUAACACAGCACCUGAUGCGUCACUCACAAGGGCCAUUCAAGGCCUCCACACCCUGAACCACAAGAUGAAGGAGCAGUCUGGCGUGAACACAUCAGCCUGGUCUGAGUGGUGGGAAAAAAUAUUUGGCAAAUAUAAAAACUUGGUGAUCUCUGUCCUAGUUUCUAUAAGCUGUGUUUGCAGCUAUUCUUACAUUGUGUGGAUGUUGUCGUAUUCCCUGCAUAAGGGCAUUACCUAACCGAUUUAUAACCACUGCUAUUGCCCCGACAAAUUCAAAAUUGGGAGAAAUAUAUCCACUAUUGGCACAACAGGGUAAUGACAGUGAUGUUGUUGACCACGAUGAUGAUGUUAUGACUUCUCUUACAGACCUGUUCUCUGAUUCAGAAGAUUACAAGUAAUUAAUACUAUAUUUUCCUCCGAGUGUAACUGUUUGUUUUCAUAAAUAUGACUGUAGAAUAAAGGCGAAAGGAUGAUCUAUUAGAUGAUGUGAGGAUUUGAGCACAUGUAGGAUAAACAGGAGGAUAAUGUAAAAAUAAUUGUAACUAUAAUUGAGUGACAUUUUCUGCCUGCAGUGAAGAAAUGUUUUGCUCUGCUCCAAUUCAGUUACUGUUCCUGCCUGCAAUGAAGAAUGCUUUGCUCUGCCAGCAAUGAAGAAUGCUUGGUUGCUCUAGAAAACAUGGUAGCAAAUGUUGGAUAAACAGGCGGGAAAUGUAGGAAUAAUUGUGAUCAAAAUUAUCAUACAUCUGCUUCCAAUAAAGAAAUGCUUUGCUCUGCUCUAGAUAACGUGGCACCCUCCGAGCAGGAGAUAGCAAGAACAAAAACAUCUAAUUAUCAGAACUGUUAGAACUGCUGCUUGUUAAAGAAAUGAAGAGUUUGUUUUGAAAACGAGACAUAGGCAUUUUUUUCAGAUUUACGAAACUCGCGCCAAAAUUAUCCAGCUCCGAAUGGAUAAUUUUGGCGCGAGUUUUGUAAAUCUGAAAAAAAUGCCAUGUCUCGUUUUGAAAACAAACUCUUCAAAUGAUGACCACACAUGUAUUCAGCAAUCUUCCACACACGCACAUGAACAAACAUGUACACCUUGUUUCCAACUGUUUUGCUUGUCGUUUCCUUUUUAUAACAUCCAUGGAAAUAAGGAGCGUCUUAAAACUAAAUAAAUAGAGGUGCUGAGGAGAGGAUAAUCAGAG
Long non-coding RNA from Syngnathoides biaculeatus (alligator pipefish), 3971 nucleotides. RefSeq lists it as uncharacterized. The record is from RefSeq and is a predicted model, not a curated record. Lineage: Eukaryota; Metazoa; Chordata; Actinopteri; Syngnathiformes; Syngnathidae. The transcript has 3 exons.